RNAcentral lists this long non-coding RNA (708 nucleotides) under Arachis ipaensis. RNAcentral's name for it is "long non-coding RNA (AIPA_LNC002039)". Lineage: Eukaryota; Viridiplantae; Streptophyta; Magnoliopsida; Fabales; Fabaceae. The record is from RNAcentral.
CUUUUAAACAACCUACAGCCUCCCCCCACCACCAAAAAAAUAAUAAUAAAAAAUAGAUAACUAAACACUGAUAUCAACGUAUUUGCAAUGGGAAUCAACAAUAUAUAGAACAAAUCAAUAAACAAUUAAAACAAUAGAUAACUUAAAUGAACAUUGAAAAGGGGUAAAACAGGAAAAUAAAAAAAAUUAGUUUAAAUAGAGAUGCUGAUGAGAGAGAUGGCAGCGACACGGCGGCGGUGGCGAUGGAGGGAGAACGAUGAGAGAGAAACCACGGCCGCCAUGCAAUUCAUCUUCUUCAUUCCAGUGCAGUGGCGAUCUAUCACUUUCCCCCUAUGAGAGAUCUAUGUGCUUGUUCUUGUCCAUGUUCAUGUUCAUUAGAGCGAAGAGAAGAGAGAGAUGCUUUUUUUUUUCUGAGAGAGAGAGAGAGAGAGAGUAGAGUGAAUUCGUGAUGGUGCUUCGUGCUUGGGUGUGAGAGUGUGAGCUGACAGCUGAUCCAGCCAGAAGAGAGCGAAAAAUAAAUAAAUAAAUAAUUACAAAAUUUAUAUUUUUAAUGAAUGAAAAAUUUACAAUAAUAAUAAUAAUAAUAAUACUAAUAAUAAUAUCCUAUUUUUAUGUGAUGAUGACUAUUUAUAUGUUUCACAGUCGUGGAAUUUGCGGAGAGAUUUGCAUACCAAGGUUUGGCGAGCAAUCUUAUCACAUAUCUCACAA